RNAcentral lists this ribosomal RNA (253 nucleotides) under uncultured bacterium. RNAcentral describes it as "partial 16S ribosomal RNA". It matches the Rfam family "Bacterial small subunit ribosomal RNA", at positions 524 to 776 of the family's 1533-position model. The record is from RNAcentral.
UACGUAGGGCGCAAGCGUUGUCCGGAAUUAUUGGGCGUAAAGAGCUCGUAGGCGGUUUGUCGCGUCUGCUGUGAAAACCUAAGGCUCAACCUUGGGCUUGCAGUGGGUACGGGCAGACUAGAGUGCGGUAGGGGUGACUGGAAUUCCUGGUGUAGCGGUGGAAUGCGCAGAUAUCAGGAGGAACACCGAUGGCGAAGGCAGGUCACUGGGCCGCAACUGACGCUGAUGCACGAAAGCUAGGGGAGCAAACAGG